Molecule: small nuclear RNA, 107 nt
Organism: Gorilla gorilla gorilla (western lowland gorilla)
Lineage: Eukaryota; Metazoa; Chordata; Mammalia; Primates; Hominidae
Source: Ensembl
AUGCUUGCUUCGGCAGCACAUAUACUAAAUUUGGAAUGAUACAGAGAAGAUUAGCAUGGCACCUGCACAAGGAUGACACACAAAUUCAUGAAGCAUUCCAUUAAAAA